CGGGCUGUAGUAUAACGGUAGUAUAUAUGCUUUGGGAGCAUACGGCCUGGGUUCAAUUCCCAGCAGCCCGA
This 71-nucleotide transfer RNA is filed under the name Minisyncoccota bacterium. Its description in RNAcentral is "tRNA-Pro". It matches the Rfam family "tRNA". Rfam says of the family: Transfer RNA (tRNA) molecules are approximately 80 nucleotides in length. Their secondary structure includes four short double-helical elements and three loops (D, anti-codon, and T loops). Further hydrogen bonds mediate the characteristic L-shaped molecular structure. tRNAs have two regions of fundamental functional importance: the anti-codon, which is responsible for specific mRNA codon recognition, and the 3' end, to which the tRNAs corresponding amino acid is attached (by aminoacyl-tRNA synthetases). tRNAs cope with the degeneracy of the genetic code in two manners: having more than one tRNA (with a specific anti-codon) for a particular amino acid; and 'wobble' base-pairing, i.e. permitting non-standard base-pairing at the 3rd anti-codon position. The record is from RNAcentral. Lineage: Bacteria; Bacillati; Minisyncoccota.